UACUCCUACCGGGAGGCAGCAGUGGGGAAUAUUGGACAAUGGGCGAAAGCCUGAUCCAGCCAUGCCGCGUGUGUGAAGAAGGCUUUCGGGUUGUAAAGCACUUUCAGCGAGGAAGAAAGCCUCUGGGCCAAUACCCCAGAGGAAGGACAUCACUCGCAGAAGAAGCACCGGCUAACUCCGUGCCAGCAGCCGCGGUAAUACGGAGGGUGCGAGCGUUAAUCGGAAUUACUGGGCGUAAAGCGCGCGUAGGUGGCUUGGCACGCCGGUUGUGAAAGCCCCGGGCUCAACCUGGGAACUGCAUCCGGAACGGCCAGGCUAGAGUGCAGGAGAGGAAGGUAGAAUUCCCGGUGUAGCGGUGAAAUGCGUAGAGAUCGGGAGGAAUACCAGUGGCGAAGGCGGCCUUCUGGCCUGACACUGACACUGAGGUGCGAAAGCGUGGGUAGCAAACAGGAUUAGAUACCCUGGUAGUCCACGCCGUAAACGAUGUCGACUAGCCGUUGGGACCUUUAAGGACUUAGUGGCGCAGUUAACGCGAUAAGUCGACCGCCUGGGGAGUACGGCCGCAAGGUUAAAACUCAAAUGAAUUGACGGGGGCCCGCACAAGCGGUGGAGCAUGUGGUUUAAUUCGAUGCAACGCGAAGAACCUUACCUACCCUUGACAUCCAGAGAAGUUGGCAGAGAUGCCUUCGUGCCUUCGGGAGCUCUGAGACAGGUGCUGCAUGGCUGUCG
RNAcentral lists this ribosomal RNA (729 nucleotides) under Salinicola sp. Its description in RNAcentral is "bacterial SSU rRNA". It matches the Rfam family "Bacterial small subunit ribosomal RNA", at positions 334 to 1054 of the family's 1533-position model. The record is from RNAcentral. Lineage: Bacteria; Pseudomonadati; Pseudomonadota; Gammaproteobacteria; Oceanospirillales; Halomonadaceae.